This 442-nucleotide ribosomal RNA is filed under the name uncultured bacterium. Its description in RNAcentral is "partial 16S ribosomal RNA". It matches the Rfam family "Bacterial small subunit ribosomal RNA", at positions 338 to 795 of the family's 1533-position model. The record is from RNAcentral.
CCUACGGGAGGCAGCAGUGGGGAAUAUUGGGCAAUGGGCGCAAGCCUGACCCCGCAACGCCGUGUGAAGGAAGAAGGCUUUCGGGUUGUAAACUUCUUUUAAGGGGGACGAACAAAUGACGGUACCCCUUGAAUCAGCUACGGCUAACUACGUGCCAGCAGCCGCGGUAAUACGUAGGUGGCAAGCGUUAUCCGGAUUUAUUGGGGUUAAAGGGCGUGCAGGCGGGGGCGCAAGUCAGAUGUGAAAACUCAGGGCUCAACCCUGAGCCUGCAUUGGAAGCUGUGUUUCUUGAGUGCUGGAGAGGCGAUCGGAAUUCCGUGUGUAGCGGUGAAAUGCGUAGAUAUACGGAGGAACACCAGUGGCGAAGGCGGAUUGCUGGACAGUAACUGACGCUGAGGCGCGAAAGCGUGGGGAGCAAACAGGAUUAGAUACCCUUGUAGUC